UUGGUAGAACCUCGGGGCUACGCUGAGCCUCAACCUGAACUUGGGAGUUCAUUUUGUUUCUCUGCGUCUGGAGCAGAAAAGAAAUAGCCCGGGGAUAUUUCAACUAUUAUUUUAUUUAUUUCUCUGCUCAUCUCUCCUGCCUGCCACUUAGUGUUUCGGUAAAACCUCUGGAAUCACAGGCAGAAAGAAAAGCUGCUUUAAAAAAGGACGAAAUCCUCGCCCACUCCUCAAUCUUCACCUGAAUGAUCGUGUAGCAAGGCCUCAGAUGCGAGGAGGAGGUGGAGGAGGAGGAG
Molecule: long non-coding RNA, 293 nt
Organism: Pleuronectes platessa (European plaice)
Lineage: Eukaryota; Metazoa; Chordata; Actinopteri; Pleuronectiformes; Pleuronectidae
Exons: 3
Source: RefSeq, a predicted model, not a curated record